GGUGGUGGUUCAGUGGUAGAAUUUUCACCUUGCAUGUGGGAGACCCAGGUUCGAUUCCUGGCCAAUCCA
Molecule: transfer RNA, 69 nt
Filed under: Procavia capensis (Cape rock hyrax)
Lineage: Eukaryota; Metazoa; Chordata; Mammalia; Hyracoidea; Procaviidae
Description: tRNA-Ala (TGC) (tRNA-Ala-TGC-12-1)
Rfam family: tRNA
About the family: Transfer RNA (tRNA) molecules are approximately 80 nucleotides in length.
Source: RNAcentral